AUGAUAUUUUAGAAUGGAUUGGUUGCACUGUAAUUUAUGUUUUUGUCAACCUGGUAAUGGUAAAGGAUAUGCAUUGACUAGCUGCGGACACAUUUAUUGUGAAAAAUGUGUAAAAGAAGGAUGUGAAAAGAGAUGUAAAAUGUGUGGGGCAGAAUGUACAUCAAUGAAAUUAACAAGCAAGUUGAAACCAGAAGUAGAAUGCUUCUUUAUGGAUCCUCUAGAUUUGGCCAAGAAACAUAACAGAGAACUAGUACAGGUUAUGGAUUUUCAGAGAAGUCACAGAAAAAGGUUAACAUCAUUUAUUAGAGAAAGGAUGGCGAAUCAAACCAGUAUUAUUGAAAAGGCUCAAAAGGCUAUUUCACAAAGUCACGAUAAUGAGAGGGAAAUAUUAAAACUACGAGAUGAAAAUGCUUAUUUAAAAAGAUUAAUUAGUGAAAAGAGUUUCUACUCCAAGUAGAAUAGGUUUAACCUCAUCUCCUGGGGGUUAUAAAGGCUCGACUUGUUAUCCCUCUCCGACAAGAUCACCGAAAUCGUCAUACCAGACUAAAAUUAAUUCUGCUUUACACACAAUGUCUUUAUCACAGCAUUCUUCCACCCCAUUAUUAUCACAGACACGUUUAACAGCAAGAACUCCACCAUCUGGUGGAAAAAUGGGAUUAAUGAAUGGUACCCCAACUAAUACACAAAUGAAUCCACAACAAACACCACGGUCUAUACCGCAUCCUAUCCAGUUAAGUCCAAUGUCUAGUCCAAUGCAUGCCAGAUGAUGUGGAAAAACAUGAAUUACAGAGAGAGUGAAAUACCAGACCUUUCUCGCGCACCUGUUAAACCACUAGACCAUCCAACCA
This is a long non-coding RNA of Patella vulgata (common limpet), 848 nucleotides long. RefSeq lists it as uncharacterized. The record is from RefSeq and is a predicted model, not a curated record. The transcript is spliced from 13 exons. Lineage: Eukaryota; Metazoa; Mollusca; Gastropoda; Patellidae.